GGAUUAGAUACCCUGGUAGUCCACGCCGUAAACGAUGUCUACUAGCCGUUGGGGUCCUUGAGACUUUAGUGGCGCAGUUAACGCGAUAAGUAGACCGCCUGGGGAGUACGGCCGCAAGGUUAAAACUCAAAUGAAUUGACGGGGGCCCGCACAAGCGGUGGAGCAUGUGGUUUAAUUCGAUGCAACGCGAAGAACCUUACCUGGUCUUGACAUAGUGAGAAUCCUGUAGAGAUGCGGGAGUGCCUUCGGGAAUUCACAUACAGGUGCUGCAUGGCUGUCGUCAGCUCGUGCCG
This 293-nucleotide ribosomal RNA is filed under the name uncultured bacterium. RNAcentral's name for it is "partial 16S ribosomal RNA". It matches the Rfam family "Bacterial small subunit ribosomal RNA", at positions 775 to 1067 of the family's 1533-position model. The record is from RNAcentral.